This 479-nucleotide ribosomal RNA is filed under the name uncultured bacterium. Its description in RNAcentral is "partial 16S ribosomal RNA". It matches the Rfam family "Bacterial small subunit ribosomal RNA", at positions 28 to 507 of the family's 1533-position model. The record is from RNAcentral. RNAcentral also lists the same sequence under 1 other name.
GAUGAACGCUAGCGGGAGGCCUAACACAUGCAAGCCGAGCGGUAUUUGUUCUUCGGAACAGAGAGAGCGGCGCACGGGUGCGGAACACGUGUGCAACCUGCCUUUAUCUGGGGGAUAGCCUUUCGAAAGGAAGAUUAAUACCCCAUAAUAUAUUGAGUGGCAUCACUUAAUAUUGAAAACUCCGGUGGAUAGAGAUGGGCACGCGCAAGAUUAGAUAGUUGGUGAGGUAACGGCUCACCAAGUCAAUGAUCUUUAGGGGGCCUGAGAGGGUGAUCCCCCACACUGGUACUGAGACACGGACCAGACUCCUACGGGAGGCAGCAGUGAGGAAUAUUGGACAAUGGGUUAGCGCCUGAUCCAGCCAUCCCGCGUGAAGGACGACGGCCCUAUGGGUUGUAAACUUCUUUUGUAUAGGGAUAAACCUACUCUCGUGAGAGUAGCUGAAGGUACUAUACGAAUAAGCACCGGCUAACUCCGUG